Small nuclear RNA from Hyaena hyaena (striped hyena), 106 nucleotides. The record is from RefSeq and is a predicted model, not a curated record. NCBI's taxonomy places the organism in Eukaryota, Metazoa, Chordata, Mammalia, Carnivora, Hyaenidae.
GUGCUUGCUUUGGCAGCACAUAUACUAAAAAUUGGAACAAUACAGAAAAGAGUAGCAUGGCCCCUAUGCAAUGAUGACACAAAUUCAUGAAGUGUUUCCUAUUUUA